This is a non-coding RNA of Drosophila melanogaster (fruit fly), 667 nucleotides long. Lineage: Eukaryota; Metazoa; Arthropoda; Insecta; Diptera; Drosophilidae. The record is from Ensembl.
GCAAGUGUGAUAUGGGGUGCCGGGGCUUAACCCCCCAAAACAUUGCUCAAAAAUACUAUAGCCUACGUUUUAUACAACUAAUUUUUAGAUUCAAUUUUGCACAUGAAUGCCAAAAACAUUUUACCAAAAUGUCAAUAAUGGCGCUGAGAACUCUUUAAUGUCGAGCGUUGCUUCCUCCUCGGUUUUAUUUUUUAACCUCACAUCCCUGGCUCUGUUCCCGUCUCUCUUGCACCCGUUAACCCGUCUCUUUCCUGCGCGGAGAUGCUUGAAAAGUUACGACGACUUUGGCCAGAAAUACAAACCAGCAAACCGCGUUUUGAUUUGCAACCCUUGGCGGGCUAAGACGGUCGACCAGAGGAAAAACCAGAAAAGUGGGUGGAAAAUAUGGUUUAACCCCCGCCCCGUUCGCCCACUCGUGCCAUCUCGCUCUGUUCGCCCAAGCACCAAAGGGCUAAAGGACCGAAGGCCGAAGGACCUCUCUCUCUCUCUGGCAAAGCCAAAGCCAAACUAGUUUUGUGGCCGCAGCUGCCGCCGCCCUUAACCCCCGCGCGCCACCAGUGCCGGCGGAAGACCACCCCUUUAACCCACUCGGUGUCUGGCUUUUCGGGGUGGAAAGGAAAAGGAAAUGCCAAGCGAACGGGGCAAGCAAAAAAAGAAAAAAAGAAAU